GACGAACGCUGGCGGCGUGCUUAACACAUGUAAGUCGAACGGAAAGGCCCUGCUUUGGUGGGGUGCUCGAGUGGCGAACGGGUGAGUAACACGUGAGUAACCUGCCCUUGACUUUGGGAUAACUUCAGGAAACUGGGGCUAAUACCUGAUAGGAGCUCCUGCUGCAUGGUGGGGGUUGGAAAGUUUCGGCGGUUGGGGAUGGACUCGCGGCUUAUCAGCUUGUUGGUGGGGUAGUGGCUUACCAAGGCUUUGACGGGUAGCCGGCCUGAGAGGGUGACCAGCCACAUUGGGAGUGAGCUACGGCCCAGACUCCUACGGGAGGCAGCAGUGGGGAAUAUUGCACAAUGGGCGGAAGCCUGAUGCAGCAACUCCGCGUGCGAGAUGACGGCCUUCGGGUUGUAAACCGCUUUCGCCUGUGACGAAGCGUGAGUGAGGGUAAUGGGUAAAGAAGCAACGGCUAACUAGGUG
This 468-nucleotide ribosomal RNA is filed under the name uncultured bacterium. RNAcentral's name for it is "partial 16S ribosomal RNA". It matches the Rfam family "Bacterial small subunit ribosomal RNA", at positions 28 to 507 of the family's 1533-position model. The record is from RNAcentral.